Molecule: long non-coding RNA, 1360 nt
Filed under: Homo sapiens (human)
Lineage: Eukaryota; Metazoa; Chordata; Mammalia; Primates; Hominidae
Description: HSALNT0121778
Source: RNAcentral
UCAAAAGACACCGAAGGUCGUCGACACAGCAUCCAAAAAUGCUUCCUGGGGAAGAUGGACCAAGACGCUGCCGCGACAGGCUCCAAGAGGAAGAGUGGUAGCAGGCUAUAACACAGAGGAUAAUCUUGUCUCCAAAAGAGGUGUCUCAACCCUUGCAAGUGAAAUCAGAUUUUCCACGUUGAGUCCAAACUUCUCAAGUUUCCUACUGGCAAGGAGUAAGGCCCUAAUUAGUUCAUGUGUGCCAGCUAAUUAGCCAUUGCCAGGGCCAUUGUCCUGAAAACGCACAAAAUGCAGCAUGUCUGAACUGGAAGAACGUUUAGAGCUUUUUCAGUCCAACUUCUCAGAUUGGAAGUGGAACCUCAGACAAGUGUUUGGGCCAAUAAUUCAACGCAGUGUAGCAGAUAAAGGACACGAACCGAGGUUUCCAGUCCUCGGUCUUGUGAUUCCACUAAACUACUCCUAAUUGAAGAAGAGAUGGAGAGAUUAUAAAGGAUUCAUCUGCUGCUUUACAUCGACUCUGACAAUCCAACACUAAAUUGUUUCUCUGUGUAGCAGAUGCUGUUGGCACCUCACCGAGAUUUCUUCAGCACUCACAGUUCCCACGCUCUGUGCUGCUGGCUUCCUCUGGGAAGUGUCUACAACUCUUGGCCUGAGGGCUUUCAGGAGAUGCCUCUAGGAGAGGCUCUCAGCCAAUGAUGGAUAGAGAUGUUGUGCUUUAGAGUGGGACAAUUCUGAGAUGAGUUUGACACCAUCUCCCGGAUGCCCCGGGGGGACUGAGCCCCAGGUGCUUACAGCAGCAACCUGCCCAUCAAUGCAUGCUCUUUGGGCUUCAUUCUCUUUGCUGUCUCACUUCCAUACUCCCCGAGGUAGGCAGAAUAACCCCCAAAGAUGACCCUACCCUAGUCUCCAGGACUUCUGAGUCUGUUAGCUUACAUGGCAAAAGGGACUUCGAAGAUGUGAUUAAGGUUAUGGAACUUGAGACAGGGAUAUUGGAUUAUCUAGGUGGGCCCAAUCUACUGUCAUGGGUCUUGGGAAGCUGAGAAUCUUUUCUGGCUGGUGAGAGAGAUGACGGAAAAAGGGUGAGAGAGAUGCAAUGUUGUUGGCUUUGAUGAUGGAGGAAGGGGGCCAUGAGCCAGGGGAUGCAGGUGGCCUUGAGAGGCUGGAAAAGGCAAGGGCUGCCUACUCCUUCAUCCUAUCUCAGUGAGGUCAACAUUGGAUUUCUGAUCUAAGAACUGUAAAUUAAUAAAUGUGUCUUGUUUUAAGCCAGCAAAUGUGUGAUGUUUUGGCAACAAUAGAAAUUUAAUUCACUCCUCUCUUCAUUUUGGAAUUACCUGUGAAAUAAACCGUUUAUAUUCAAAGC